UACGUAGGGUGCAAGCGUUAAUCGGAAUUACUGGGCGUAAAGCGUGCGCAGGCGGUUUUGUAAGUCUGUCGUGAAAUCCCCGGGCUCAACCUGGGAAUUGCGAUGGAGACUGCAAGGCUAGAAUCUGGCAGAGGGGGGUAGAAUUCCACGUGUAGCAGUGAAAUGCGUAGAGAUGUGGAGGAACACCGAUGGCGAAGGCAGCCCCCUGGGUCAAGAUUGACGCUCAUGCACGAAAGCGUGGGAGCAAACAGG
This 252-nucleotide ribosomal RNA is filed under the name uncultured bacterium. RNAcentral's name for it is "partial 16S ribosomal RNA". It matches the Rfam family "Bacterial small subunit ribosomal RNA", at positions 524 to 776 of the family's 1533-position model. The record is from RNAcentral.